GACAGAGUUCCCGAGCGUUAGGCGGAAUCACUGGGCUUAAAGCGUGUGUAGGCGGCGGCCUAAGUACCUUGUGAAAUCCCACGGCUCACCCGUGGAACUGCUCGGUAUACUGGGUCGCUUGAGCCACUUAGGGGCUACCGGAACAAAUGGUGGAGCGGUGAAAUGCGUAGAUAUCAUUUGGAACGCCAAUGGUGAAAACAGGUAGCUGGGAGUGUGCUGACGCUGAGACACGAAAGCCAGGGGAGCAAACGGG
RNAcentral lists this ribosomal RNA (253 nucleotides) under uncultured bacterium. RNAcentral's name for it is "partial 16S ribosomal RNA". It matches the Rfam family "Bacterial small subunit ribosomal RNA", at positions 524 to 776 of the family's 1533-position model. The record is from RNAcentral.